UAUGGGGUAUGCGAAACACCCCGUGAGGCGACAGCCGAAGGAUCGCGUCCCCAACCCUUAAUAAAGGAGGACGCAUUAUG
RNAcentral lists this non-coding RNA (80 nucleotides) under uncultured Sneathiella sp. RNAcentral describes it as "chrB-a RNA". It matches the Rfam family "chrB-a RNA". The record is from RNAcentral. Lineage: Bacteria; Pseudomonadati; Pseudomonadota; Alphaproteobacteria; Sneathiellales; Sneathiellaceae.